This is a small nuclear RNA of Pygocentrus nattereri (red-bellied piranha), 119 nucleotides long. Its record names the gene U2. It matches the Rfam family "U2 spliceosomal RNA". From Rfam's summary of the family: U2 is a small nuclear RNA (snRNA) component of the spliceosome (involved in pre-mRNA splicing). Complementary binding between U2 snRNA (in an area lying towards the 5' end but 3' to hairpin I) and the branchpoint sequence (BPS) of the intron results the bulging out of an unpaired adenosine, on the BPS, which initiates a nucleophilic attack at the intronic 5' splice site, thus starting the first of two transesterification reactions that mediate splicing. The record is from Ensembl. Lineage: Eukaryota; Metazoa; Chordata; Actinopteri; Characiformes; Serrasalmidae.
AUCGCUUCUCGGCCUUUUGGCUAAGAUCAAGUGUAGUAUCUGUUCUUAUCGGACGGUACGGUUCCAGUGGAAGACCAUCCAGGAAGGGGAUACAUUCCCGGAGCGGAUCCCCUUCAUCC